CCUACGGGUGGCUGCAGUGGGGAAUUUUGGACAAUGGGCGAAAGCCUGAUCCAGCAAUGCCGCGUGAGUGAAGAAGGCCUUCGGGUUGUAAAGCUCUUUUGUUUGGGAAGAAAUCCCUAAGGAUAAUACCCGUGGGGGAUGACGGUACCAAAAGAAUAAGCACCGGCUAACUACGUGCCAGCAGCCGCGGUAAUACGUAGGGUGCGAGCGUUAAGCGGAGUUACUGGGCGGGAUUUGUGCGCACGCGGGUGAAAUCCCCGGGCUCAACUUGGGAACUGCACUUGUGACUGCAAGACUAGAGUGUGUCAGAGGGAGGUAGAAUUCCACGUGUAGCAGUGAAAUGCGUAGAUAUGUGGAGGAAUACCAGUGGCGAAGGCGGCCUCCUGGGAUAACACUGACGCUCAUGUACGAAAGCGUGGGGAGCAAACAGGAUUAGAUACCCCAGUAGUC
This 450-nucleotide ribosomal RNA is filed under the name uncultured bacterium. Its description in RNAcentral is "partial 16S ribosomal RNA". It matches the Rfam family "Bacterial small subunit ribosomal RNA", at positions 338 to 795 of the family's 1533-position model. The record is from RNAcentral.